UACGGAGGGUGCGAGCGUUGUCCGGAUUUAUUGGGUUUAAAGGGUGCGUAGGUGGCUUUAUAAGUCAGUGGUGAAAUACAGCCGCUUAACGGUUGAGGUGCCAUUGAUACUGUAGAGCUUGAAACAAUUGGAGGCUGCCGGAAUGGAUGGUGUAGCGGUGAAAUGCAUAGAUAUCAUCCAGAACACCGAUUGCGAAGGCAGGUGGCUACGUUUGAUUUGACACUGAGGCACGAAAGCAUGGGGGAGCAAACAGG
Molecule: ribosomal RNA, 254 nt
Filed under: uncultured bacterium
Lineage: Bacteria
Description: partial 16S ribosomal RNA
Rfam family: Bacterial small subunit ribosomal RNA
Source: RNAcentral